AUUGAACGCUGGCGGCAUGCCUAACACAUGCAAGUCGAACGGCAGCACGACCUAGCUUGCUAGGUUGGUGGCGAGUGGCGCGCGGGUGAGUAAUGCGUAGGAAUAUACCUUAAAGUGGGGGACAACCUGGGGAAACUCAGGCUAAUACCGCAUGAGCUCUAAGGAGGAAAGCUGGGGACCUUUCGGGGCCUGGCGCUUUAAGAAUAGCUUACGUCCGAUUAGUUAGUUGGUGGGGUAAAGGCUUACCAAGACGAUGAUCGGUAGCUGGUCUGAGAGGAUGAUCAGCCACACUGGGACUGAGACACGGCCCAGACUCCUACGGGAGGCAGCAGUGGGGAAUAUUGGACAAUGGGGGAAACCCUGAUCCAGCGAUGCCGCGUGUGUGAAGAAGGCCUGCGGGUUGUAAAGCACUUUCGGUGGGGAGGAGGACUUAUAGGUUAAGAGCUAAUGAGUUGGACGUUACCCAUAUAAGAAGCACCGGCUAACUCCGUGCCAGCCGCCGCGGUAA
RNAcentral lists this ribosomal RNA (508 nucleotides) under uncultured bacterium. RNAcentral's name for it is "partial 16S ribosomal RNA". It matches the Rfam family "Bacterial small subunit ribosomal RNA", at positions 30 to 523 of the family's 1533-position model. The record is from RNAcentral.